Drosophila grimshawi is the source of this 584-nucleotide long non-coding RNA. RefSeq lists it as uncharacterized. Lineage: Eukaryota; Metazoa; Arthropoda; Insecta; Diptera; Drosophilidae. The transcript has 3 exons. The record is from RefSeq and is a predicted model, not a curated record.
GUGGUUCACACUGCUGCUAACCUGUCAAUAAAUGAUGAAAUUGAAUUUGAAUGCGACCUGUAGUUGAAACGGGAUGAUGCUAUGUACAUUUAUGCACAUGCGUAAGCAGAGCAUUCGAAAGAACGGGAAAGAAGCGGCAACUGCACGCGCCUCAACAUGUGGAUGCUGCUCUGCCCGCAAACAAUUGUUAUCGGAAAAGAAUCGGCCGGUUUUUUUAUGGACCAACAAGUUUGAAAUCUAAUAUUUUUAUGCAAUUUGGGGAGAAAUUAUUGUGCCCGAAAAACUUAUAACUUGCUUUAAUUCACAAAAUUCUGCACAUCUAUCGAUAGAUUGUAACUUUUCAGGAUCUGAAACGAUUUGUGCAUGAAAAGCUUACGAGAAAGGUCAAAAAGCUGAUAUGGAUAAGAUACAUGUAAACACAUCGCAAGAGCUUGAUUCGAAUUUUUAGUAAACGAACUUUUAUGAAUUUGGACGGAAAAUCAUGCUUUCCUUAUUAAAAUUCAAUAGUAAUCAAGAAGCCAAACCAUAAUCAAAAGAGAAGACCUGCUGAGUUUUCCCAAGGUUCGCCCUCAUCAUAUUGAUAA